Osmerus eperlanus (European smelt) is the source of this 675-nucleotide long non-coding RNA. RefSeq lists it as uncharacterized. The record is from RefSeq and is a predicted model, not a curated record. NCBI's taxonomy places the organism in Eukaryota, Metazoa, Chordata, Actinopteri, Osmeriformes, Osmeridae. The transcript is spliced from 2 exons.
GAAACAGUCCCCCAGUCCCCUCUCACAUGUACACUGUUGACCUGUCUGUGUGUCAGCCUGACUCUCUACUGACCUCUCUCUCUGCUAGCCUGUCUGACGCCUAACCUGUCUGUCUGCAGGGUAAUCAGCUGUGAGGAGGGAAGGCUCUGGCGGAGUCAUGGAACGCUGCCUUCAUGGAGUCCUCAGCCAAGGAGAACCAGACGGCGGUAGAGGUGUUUAAGAGGACCAUCGUGGAGAUGGAGAAGAUGGAGAGAGGAGCCCCGCAGGGUCGGACAUCCUGCUCCUUGAUGUAGACCUGACCUCUGACCCUUAAGGCCUCUAACCCACUCCUGGACUCUCUACCCCCCCCCCCCCUUCCCCUCACCCAGACACUGGGACAUCCCUGCACUUGAACUGACUGGCUGCCUGCCAUAUUCCUUCUGUCAAAAAUGAUAAAAGAAAGAAAAUAACUUUGUUUUUCAUUUUUAAACAAUGUGUAAAAAAAAAGAAGAAAAAAAGAAUAUAUUUGUUGUAAUUGUUUUCCAUUCUCCAGGCUGUUGUUUUUUGGGGGAAGGGGGGGGCACUACUAUGGCACUACUAAUGCCAGCUGUGGGCCUUACCCUGUCCCUACCCUUCACAGUAGAACCUUCCAUUUUACUUUGACUGUUUUCAUUAAAGGAGCUUAUUGUUUCAGUA